Molecule: transfer RNA, 61 nt
Filed under: Loxodonta africana (African savanna elephant)
Lineage: Eukaryota; Metazoa; Chordata; Mammalia; Proboscidea; Elephantidae
Rfam family: tRNA
About the family: Transfer RNA (tRNA) molecules are approximately 80 nucleotides in length. Their secondary structure includes four short double-helical elements and three loops (D, anti-codon, and T loops). Further hydrogen bonds mediate the characteristic L-shaped molecular structure. tRNAs have two regions of fundamental functional importance: the anti-codon, which is responsible for specific mRNA codon recognition, and the 3' end, to which the tRNAs corresponding amino acid is attached (by aminoacyl-tRNA synthetases). tRNAs cope with the degeneracy of the genetic code in two manners: having more than one tRNA (with a specific anti-codon) for a particular amino acid; and 'wobble' base-pairing, i.e. permitting non-standard base-pairing at the 3rd anti-codon position.
Source: Rfam by way of RNAcentral
GUGGCAUAAACGGUUAAGCAUUUGGCUACUAAACCAAAAGGUUGGUAGUUCAAAUCUACCC